Molecule: ribosomal RNA, 330 nt
Filed under: Calvactaea tumida
Lineage: Eukaryota; Metazoa; Arthropoda; Malacostraca; Decapoda; Xanthidae
Description: partial large subunit ribosomal RNA
Source: RNAcentral
AUUAAUAGAUAUUUCUUUAAAUUUGAAGAAUUUGGCGGUAACUAAUCUUAUUAGAGGAACCUGUUUUAUAAGUCGAUACACCCCGUAAAAUCUUACUUGUUUUAUUUAGUUUGUAUACCGUCAUUAUCAGAUGAUUUUUAAAAAAUAAAUUAUUAAACGUUAUGUAAUAGUAAGUGAAAUUAGAUCAAGGUGCAGCUCAUAAAUAAGUCGAAAUGGGUUACAAUAAAUUUUAUUUAAUACGGAGUUAAUAUUAAAAUGAAACAAUUAACGAAGGAGGAUUUAAUUGUAAUAGGAAUUUAAUAGGUUUUAAAGAUAUCAGCUCUGAGUUAU